RNAcentral lists this transfer RNA (85 nucleotides) under Alphaproteobacteria bacterium. Its description in RNAcentral is "tRNA-Leu". It matches the Rfam family "tRNA". From Rfam's summary of the family: Transfer RNA (tRNA) molecules are approximately 80 nucleotides in length. Their secondary structure includes four short double-helical elements and three loops (D, anti-codon, and T loops). Lineage: Bacteria; Pseudomonadati; Pseudomonadota; Alphaproteobacteria. RNAcentral also lists the same sequence under 5 other names. The record is from RNAcentral.
GCGGGCGUGGUGAAAUUGGCAGACACGCAGGAUUUAGGUUCCUGUGGGGCAACCCGUGGGGGUUCAAGUCCCUCCGCCCGCACCA